GGAAACCUAGGACCUGAAGAGUUUGAGCUAAUAAUUAACAACCAAGUAUUUUUCCUAUUCACCUUGCCUAGCCCGAGGACUAGUGUUCAUAACCGAAACAAUUAGCUCUACAAUCUGAAUGGAAUACCUUCUCCUGUUAGAUCUACUGAAUCCAUCCAAGACUAUGAGAUUUGUGACGACCCAAUUCCUUAUGCUGAGUCUGACCCACAUACACCCACUGGAUACCAUGAUGUUACCUCUCCACCUCAUCCUA
This 253-nucleotide long non-coding RNA is filed under the name Lathyrus oleraceus (garden pea). RNAcentral's name for it is "Pisum sativum (pea) long non-coding RNA (PSAT_LNC027129)". Lineage: Eukaryota; Viridiplantae; Streptophyta; Magnoliopsida; Fabales; Fabaceae. The record is from RNAcentral.